RNAcentral lists this ribosomal RNA (562 nucleotides) under uncultured bacterium. RNAcentral describes it as "bacterial SSU rRNA". It matches the Rfam family "Bacterial small subunit ribosomal RNA", at positions 340 to 916 of the family's 1533-position model. The record is from RNAcentral.
UACGGGAGGCAGCAGUGGGGAAUUUUCCGCAAUGGGCGAAAGCCUGACGGAGCAAUACCGCGUGAGGGAGGAAGGCUCUUGGGUUGUAAACCUCUUUUCUCAGGGAAGAAGUUCUGACGGUACCUGAGGAAUCAGCAUCGGCUAACUCCGUGCCAGCAGCCGCGGUAAUACGGAGGAUGCAAGCGUUAUCCGGAAUGAUUGGGCGUAAAGCGUCCGCAGGUGGCACUCCAAGUCUGCUGUCAAAGGUCGGGGCUCAACUCCGAACAGGCAGUGGAAACUGGAGAGCUAGAGUGCGGUAGGGGCAGAGGGAAUUCCCGGUGUAGCGGUGAAAUGCGUAGAGAUCGGGAAGAACACCAGUGGCGAAAGCGCUCUGCUAGGCCGCAACUGACACUCAGGGACGAAAGCUAGGGGAGCGAAUGGGAUUAGAUACCCCAGUAGUCCUAGCCGUAAACGAUGGAUACUAGGCGUGGCAUGUAUCGACCCGUGCCGUGCCGGAGCUAACGCGUUAAGUAUCCCGCCUGGGGAGUACGCGCGCAAGCGUGAAACUCAAAAAAAUUGACGG